UGGGAAUAUUGCACAAUGGGCGGAAGCCUGAUGCAGCAACGCCGCGUGCGGGAUGACGGCCUUCGGGUUGUAAACCGCUUUCGCCUGUGACGAAGCGUGAGUGACGGUAAUGGGUAAAGAAGCACCGGCUAACUACGUGCCAGCAGCCGCGGUGAUACGUAGGGUGCGAGCGUUGUCCGGAUUUAUUGGGCGUAAAGGGCUCGUAGGUGGUUGAUCGCGUCGGAAGUGUAAUCUUGGGGCUUAACCCUGAGCGUGCUUUCGAUACGGGUUGACUUGAGGAAGGUAGGGGAGAAUGGAAUUCCUGGUGGAGCGGUGGAAUGCACAGAUAUCAGGAGGAACACCAGUGGCGAAGGCGGUUCUCUGGGCCUUUCCUGACGCUGAGGAGCGAAAGCGUGGGGAGCGAACAGGCUUAGAUACCCUGGUAGUCCACGCUGUAAACGGUGGGUACUAGGUGUGGGGUCCAUUCCACGGGUUCCGUGCCGUAGCUAACGCUUUAAGUACCCCGCCUGGGGAGUACGGCCGCAAGGCUA
Molecule: ribosomal RNA, 530 nt
Filed under: uncultured bacterium
Lineage: Bacteria
Description: bacterial SSU rRNA
Rfam family: Bacterial small subunit ribosomal RNA
Source: RNAcentral